CCUAUAGUCUUUUUUUAUGGGGUGGUAAUGCUGAAUAUAGUGAAAUGUAAACUUCUAUUUUGACUUGCAGCUCUAUGCCUGUCAAAGUCAUACUGAUUAGUAUCAGUCUGAUUUGAUGACAUCAGAUUUGAUUUGUAAUUUCUGGGGAAAUUUAGUUAAAAUUUAAAAGUUAAAUAUCCUCUUAAGAAAAAUGUUUGAGCAUGGAAUUUACUUACUGGCAACAGAAGGUUUUUAUUUCCAUUUGUUAGUUUUUGCAAUUUAAUUCUCUGAUUGUUUUACUUAUUUUUACAACAUUUUUGAGGUAUAAUUGACAAAUGAACAAUCAUAUAUAAUUAAGUUAUAUAACAUAGUGUUUUGAUGCAUAUGUUUACAUGCAUACACAUUUUUAAAUGAUUACCAUACUUAGGCUAAUUAGCAUAACCAUCACUUCAUGUAGAUACUCUGUGUGUGUGUAUGUGUGGUGUGUGUGUGUGUGUGUGUGUGUGUGUGUUGAGAACUUUUAAGAUCUUUCAGACUUGUUAGGAUUAUUUUGUAGCUCUCUAGAAAUGGCCAUCCCAGUUUAUUUAGGUAGACCAGCUCUUUGUCAUUCAGAUCUCUUACAUCUAUAAAUUCAUCAGAUAAGCUAUCCUCAUCUAAAAUACCCUUCAUUUUUAAAUACUCUGCAGUACUAGACAUCUUUUUCUCAAGGAAAAUGGUUGUAAAAGCACAGAGGUGAUUUAAUCUUUGAAAUUAAAGAUGGGUUCCAAGUAAAUUACACUUUUGGUAAACAGAUGAUUAUAGAUUGAAUAGAAUUUGUCAUAAUUUACAUUUGCACUGCCUACUACAUAAACAGAUAGUCAAAUAAAGACUAGUUUGGAUCUGGGCACCAUGGCACAUACCCAUAAUCCCAGAGACUCAAGAGGCUGAGGCAGGAGGAACACAGGGUCAAGGCCAGCCUCAGCAACUUAGUGAGGCCCUAAGCAACUUAGUGAAAACCUGUCUCAAAAUAAAAAAUUAAAAGGGCCGAGGAUGUAGCUCAUUGGUAGAGCACUUCUACACUAAAAGGUGAGUCAUCUAUAAUCAGCAUUCCCCAUUUGUUCACCCACGGGACAUUUUACAUGCCUCCUCUGAACCAGGAAAUCUGGCUGUACUCCGUUUUAUAGAGAUAUCAGGGGAACAAUGCAAUAAUGCACAUCAUUUGUCUGGUAUGCCAAGCUAAAUCAGGGUCUACUGUUUACAAUUGAACACUGGUAUCUUUUGAGGAGGCCAAAUUUAGAAAUUCAGAAGUACUGCCCAUCUCAUUUUAAAGUUGUGAGAUUCGUUUUUCAGAUAUGCUAUUCACAUCCCAUCCACCAUGCCCAAUCCCAAAUUCUUUCCUUCCAGUGGUGUAUUAUGCUCUGUUUUCAUUAUUUACCUUUAGCUCAAUUGUGUUAACCUCUAUCUGUCAUUAAAUUAACACAGUUAUUUAGCUUUAUUUUUCUGUUUGUCUGGAUCAUACUGAUGUUGUCCAUUUUUAUUGUUUAUGUUAACAUUAGAAUUUUUUUCUGUUUUCAACUUUGUCUCUGAAUUAUCUAGGUUUUCUUUUUUGUUUGCCACACCUCUGUCUUUCACAGUGGACCUUUCCUCUUUAUAACUAAUGAAUCUUGGCUAGCCUUUCAUAAUCUAAGAUGAGGAAUAAAAUUCUAGUUGACAGCCUUGUAUGCAUGGCUGGGGCUUAUAAUUUGGGAAGCUUCAGUGCUUUGGAAUGGUUGUCAUCUGGACUUUAAUGUCACUGAUAGAUUUCCCUAGAGCUUGACCCUUAGUUUCUGGCAUUUGAAGGGCAGGGUUCGGGAACCAGCUGAGGAGAUUCUGUGUUUCAAUAUACAUUAUUUUCAUUUAAUCCCUCUUUUUGGCUGUGUGCUUUGCCCUCACCUUCUACUGAUGCUGGCAUCCCCAACUCUAGGAUUUCUGCACAGAAUAAAUCUCUGAUCUUUUGUUAGUAUAUGCUUAGCUACCUGAAAUAAAGGGAUCAAACUUCUCAUUCAUAUUUAAAGUGAUUUUGGCCAGAGAUCAAGGGAGACUCCCUCCUUGCCAUCCUACUAAUACAUUAGUAUUCUUAUAAGUGAAAGGAAGUGAAAGAUUUAGGACUUCAGGAAAGAUUCAGUAUGAAACUGGCUUUCUAACAAAGUCCCUUUUAUUUUUUAUUCAAGAGAAUAUUGCACAUAAUGCAUCCCACUAUGAGGUAUAAUUAUAAUGCACCAAUAAAAAUUUUGGACCAUAUGGUUGCUCACACAUAAUAUAUCUAAGAAUUUUUCCUUGGAAUGAAAUGACCAGGCCUCAGAAUCCCAGUGUUUAUGCCAUCUUUCUCCAGAUGAAGAGUUGCGACACAGCAGAUGGCCAAGAAGCCCAGGCAUGUGAAUGCAGAAUUUUCCUAGUGUCUUGUAACAUGCACCCCAUUUUCAGUCUUUUCCCUCUAAGAAUCUGGAGCUUGCAAGUCCCAGACCUUUGAUGUUUAUGAGGGAAUAGCUGGCUACCUUUUCAUCAGUUCUCUGCUCUGCAGCACUCAUAUUCUAGUUUCAUCUUCUUUCUGUCUUACCACUCCUUUCUCUCUUCCAAAAAUACAUUAAAAUAUUAUGUCCAUCAGUUUUCUCCUCUCA
Ictidomys tridecemlineatus (thirteen-lined ground squirrel) is the source of this 2615-nucleotide non-coding RNA. Lineage: Eukaryota; Metazoa; Chordata; Mammalia; Rodentia; Sciuridae. The record is from RefSeq and is a predicted model, not a curated record.